RNAcentral lists this long non-coding RNA (1160 nucleotides) under Vigna radiata. RNAcentral's name for it is "long non-coding RNA (VRAD_LNC005693)". The record is from RNAcentral. Lineage: Eukaryota; Viridiplantae; Streptophyta; Magnoliopsida; Fabales; Fabaceae.
AUUGCUAUAAAUACAUUUAAAUAUUAAUAGUAUGUAAUAUAAAUGUUCGAUUUUUCAAACCAAAUAUACAUAUUAAUUAUUAUGCAGUUAAAAUAGUGUAAAUUAUUCUAAAUUCAAAUCUUAUAAUAAACAAACUAAAAACAAUCUCUUCCUACCACCGUAACAACAGCAACGCAAAAUAAACCUAAUGUGUUAACUUAAAAUGGUAGGGCGAUUUCAACCGUAGAUUUCAAACAGUUAUAUUUAGUUACAAGACAUAAAGCUAUAAGAAUGGAAUGAACCAAACCUUCUUCAAGAAACUAGAUUUGAGGAAAGAAACUGCGUCGAAGACAUUUUUGUUUCAAGCUAAGUAAAAAAAACGUCAUCGCUACAAAAAAAUUAAGGUAAAUUCACAGCCAACUUCAUGAAUAAUUCGUACAAAACAUAAAAGCUAAAAACUCAGAAAAGAGCAGCACAAAUCUAAAUAUAAAAUAAAUUGAUUAUGUACUAGAAUCAAUGAUCACAACAACAACAGUAAUACUACUCAACUCAUACAAACAAUAUAGAUCCAGCAAUCAAUACAUAUAAUCUCUACAUAGGGACAUGAAUAGAGAGAAAGAGAGAAUUAUACACUAAUGCUACUCAAAUCUCCACUCCUACUAAAGUUCCACACAGGUAAACGAGAAAAUCCAUGAGCUAAGCUCAGAUCCGAAGAGAAGAACCGAAGGCAAGAGCAGCAACAGCGCCAACAACCCCGGCGACGAAGGACGGCGAAACAGCAACGGCGGGAGACGUCGGACUCGGUGCCGGAGCGUCGGCGGCGGAGAUAACGGCGACGAGUACCGACAUUACGGCGAUGAACAUUGCUUUAGAGAAAGCCAUUGGAUUUAUCACAAAUUUUCUGAUUUCUGUGUUUAGGGUUUGGGUUGCGUUGGGCGCAGUGAGAGUUCGUUUUGAGGAGAGGCGAAAAUGGUGGUUUAUAUAGAAGGAGGGAGGAGAGGUACGGGCAGUUCGGGUAGUUGCCCGAAGUACAGACUGGCAAUAGGUCCAUUGCCAGCUGGAUCUGCUUCUAUUCUGAAAAAUCAGGUUUCACAUGACUAUUUCACCACGACGCCGUUUCGCUCGCCUGAGGUUCCUUGUCCCAGUGGCUCGUGCUCUCACUUUCACGCACAACAUCUACA